UACGAAGGGGGCUAGCGUUGCUCGGAAUUACUGGGCGUAAAGCGCGCGCAGGCGGUUCUUCCAGUCAGUGGUGAAAGCCCGGAGCUCAACUCCGGAACUGCCAUUGAAACUGUAGAACUUGAGGAUGAGAGAGGUGAGUGGAAUUCCCAGUGUAGAGGUGAAAUUCGUAGAUAUUCGCAAGAACACCAGUGGCGAAGGCGGCUCACUGGCCCGGUACUGACGCUGAGGUGCGAAAGCGUGGGGAGCAAACAGG
RNAcentral lists this ribosomal RNA (253 nucleotides) under uncultured bacterium. RNAcentral's name for it is "partial 16S ribosomal RNA". It matches the Rfam family "Bacterial small subunit ribosomal RNA", at positions 524 to 776 of the family's 1533-position model. The record is from RNAcentral.